CUUUUAUUUGGGAAGAAACCCCAGGUCGAGCACCUGGGCUGACGGUACCAAAGGAAUAAGGACCGGCUAACUCCGUGCCAGCAGCCGCGGUAAUACGGAGGGUCCAAGCGUUAUCCGGAAUCAUUGGGUUUAAAGGGUUCGCAGGCGGUUUAAUAAGUCAGUGGUGAAAUCCCGUAGCUCAACUAUGGAACUGCCAUUGAUACUGUUAGACUUGAAUACAGUUGGAGUAGGCGGAAUGUGUAGUGUAGCGGUGAAAUGCUUAGAUAUUACACAGAACACCGAUAGCGAAGGCAGCUUACUAAACUGUGAUUGACGCUCAUGAACGAAAGCGUGGGGAGCGAACAGGAUUAGAUACCCUGGUAGUCCACGCCGUAAACUAUGAUUACUCGAUAUUGGCGAUAUACGGUCAGUGUCUAAGCGAAAGUGAUAAGUAAUCCACCUGGGGAGUACGGUCGCAAGAUUGAAACUCAA
RNAcentral lists this ribosomal RNA (471 nucleotides) under uncultured bacterium. RNAcentral's name for it is "bacterial SSU rRNA". It matches the Rfam family "Bacterial small subunit ribosomal RNA", at positions 433 to 904 of the family's 1533-position model. The record is from RNAcentral.